RNAcentral lists this small RNA (36 nucleotides) under Bombyx mori (domestic silkworm). RNAcentral's name for it is "ovarian small RNA-11054". The record is from RNAcentral. Lineage: Eukaryota; Metazoa; Arthropoda; Insecta; Lepidoptera; Bombycidae.
ACACGUCCAUACGUCCGGUUGGUACCGCGAUGCGCU